This 142-nucleotide unclassified non-coding RNA is filed under the name uncultured Myxotrichaceae. RNAcentral's name for it is "sequence contains ITS2". The record is from RNAcentral. Lineage: Eukaryota; Fungi; Ascomycota; Leotiomycetes; Myxotrichaceae.
CAACCCUCAAGCCCGGCUUGGUGUUGGGCCCGGCCCGUCUGCGGCCGGCCCUAAAGGCAGUGGCGGCGCCGCCCGGCCCUGAGCGCAGUACACCUCUCGCUCCAGGGCCCCGCGGUGGCCUGCCAGAACCCCCCAACUCUGU